This 1427-nucleotide ribosomal RNA is filed under the name uncultured organism. RNAcentral's name for it is "SSU rRNA". It matches the Rfam family "Bacterial small subunit ribosomal RNA". The record is from RNAcentral.
UUAACACAUGCAAGUCGAGGGGCAGCACAGGUAGCAAUACCGGGUGGCGACCGGCGCACGGGUGAGUAACGCGUAUGCAACUUGCCUAUCAGAGGGGGAUAACCCGGCGAAAGUCGGACUAAUACCGCAUGAAGCAGGGGCCCCGCAUGGGGAUAUUUGCUAAAGAUUCAUCGCUGAUAGAUAGGCAUGCGUUCCAUUAGGCAGUUGGCGGGGUAACGGCCCACCAAACCGACGAUGGAUAGGGGUUCUGAGAGGAAGGUCCCCCACAUUGGUACUGAGACACGGACCAAACUCCUACGGGAGGCAGCAGUGAGGAAUAUUGGUCAACGGCCGAGAGGCUGAACCAGCCAAGUCGCGUGAGGGAUGAAGGUUCUAUGGAUCGUAAACCUCUUUUAUAAGGGAAUAAAGUGCGGGACGUGUCCCGUUUUGUAUGUACCUUAUGAAUAAGGAUCGGCUAACUCCGUGCCAGCAGCCGCGGUAAUACGGAGGAUCCGAGCGUUAUCCGGAUUUAUUGGGUUUAAAGGGUGCGUAGGCGGCCUUUUAAGUCAGCGGUGAAAGUCUGUGGCUCAACCAUAGAAUUGCCGUUGAAACUGGGGGGCUUGAGUAUGUUUGAGGCAGGCGGAAUGCGUGGUGUAGCGGUGAAAUGCAUAGAUAUCACGCAGAACCCCGAUUGCGAAGGCAGCCUGCCAAGCCAUUACUGACGCUGAUGCACGAAAGCGUGGGGAUCAAACAGGAUUAGAUACCCUGGUAGUCCACGCAGUAAACGAUGAUCACUAGCUGUUUGCGAUACACUGUAAGCGGCACAGCGAAAGCGUUAAGUGAUCCACCUGGGGAGUACGCCGGCAACGGUGAAACUCAAAGGAAUUGACGGGGGCCCGCACAAGCGGAGGAACAUGUGGUUUAAUUCGAUGAUACGCGAGGAACCUUACCCGGGUUUGAACGCAUUCGGACCGAGGUGGAAACACCUUUUCUAGCAAUAGCCGUUUGCGAGGUGCUGCAUGGUUGUCGUCAGCUCGUGCCGUGAGGUGUCGGCUUAAGUGCCAUAACGAGCGCAACCCUUGCCACUAGUUACUAACAGGUUAGGCUGAGGACUCUGGUGGGACUGCCAGCGUAAGCUGCGAGGAAGGCGGGGAUGACGUCAAAUCAGCACGGCCCUUACAUCCGGGGCGACACACGCGUUACAAUGGCGUGGACAAAGGGAUGCCACCUGGCGACAGGGAGCGAAUCCCCAAACCACGUCUCAGUUCGGAUCGGAGUCUGCAACCCGACUCCGUGAAGCUGGAUUCGCUAGUAAUCGCGCAUCAGCCAUGGCGCGGUGAAUACGUUCCCGGGCCUUGUACACACCGCCCGUCAAGCCAUGGGAGCCGGGGGUACCUGAAGUCCGUAACCGAAAGGAUCGGCCUAGGGUAAAACUGGUGACUGGGGCU